RNAcentral lists this transfer RNA (72 nucleotides) under Marsupiomonas sp. NIES 1824. RNAcentral describes it as "tRNA-Lys". It matches the Rfam family "tRNA". Rfam says of the family: Transfer RNA (tRNA) molecules are approximately 80 nucleotides in length. Their secondary structure includes four short double-helical elements and three loops (D, anti-codon, and T loops). Further hydrogen bonds mediate the characteristic L-shaped molecular structure. tRNAs have two regions of fundamental functional importance: the anti-codon, which is responsible for specific mRNA codon recognition, and the 3' end, to which the tRNAs corresponding amino acid is attached (by aminoacyl-tRNA synthetases). tRNAs cope with the degeneracy of the genetic code in two manners: having more than one tRNA (with a specific anti-codon) for a particular amino acid; and 'wobble' base-pairing, i.e. permitting non-standard base-pairing at the 3rd anti-codon position. The record is from RNAcentral. Lineage: Eukaryota; Viridiplantae; Chlorophyta; Pedinophyceae; Marsupiomonadales; Marsupiomonadaceae.
GGGCUACUAACUCAACGGUAGAGUACUCGACUUUUAAUCGAUAAGUUCUGGGUUCGAAUCCCAGGUAGCCCA